This 71-nucleotide transfer RNA is filed under the name Anneissia japonica. RNAcentral's name for it is "tRNA-Gly". It matches the Rfam family "tRNA". Rfam says of the family: Transfer RNA (tRNA) molecules are approximately 80 nucleotides in length. Lineage: Eukaryota; Metazoa; Echinodermata; Crinoidea; Comatulida; Comatulidae. The record is from RNAcentral.
GCAUCGGUGGUUCAGUGGUAGAAUCCUCGCCUGCCACACAGGGGACGCGGGUUCAAUUCCCGGCCGAUGCA